This 1316-nucleotide ribosomal RNA is filed under the name Shigella sonnei. RNAcentral describes it as "bacterial LSU rRNA". It matches the Rfam family "Bacterial large subunit ribosomal RNA", at positions 1632 to 2925 of the family's 2925-position model. Lineage: Bacteria; Pseudomonadati; Pseudomonadota; Gammaproteobacteria; Enterobacterales; Enterobacteriaceae. The record is from RNAcentral.
UAACAUCAAAUCGUACCCCAAACCGACACAGGUGGUCAGGUAGAGAAUACCAAGGCGCUUGAGAGAACUCGGGUGAAGGAACUAGGCAAAAUGGUGCCGUAACUUCGGGAGAAGGCACGCUGAUAUGUAGGUGAAGUCCCUCGCGGAUGGAGCUGAAAUCAGUCGAAGAUACCAGCUGGCUGCAACUGUUUAUUAAAAACACAGCACUGUGCAAACACGAAAGUGGACGUAUACGGUGUGACGCCUGCCCGGUGCCGGAAGGUUAAUUGAUGGGGUCAGCGCAAGCGAAGCUCUUGAUCGAAGCCCCGGUAAACGGCGGCCGUAACUAUAACGGUCCUAAGGUAGCGAAAUUCCUUGUCGGGUAAGUUCCGACCUGCACGAAUGGCGUAAUGAUGGCCAGGCUGUCUCCACCCGAGACUCAGUGAAAUUGAACUCGCUGUGAAGAUGCAGUGUACCCGCGGCAAGACGGAAAGACCCCGUGAACCUUUACUAUAGCUUGACACUGAACAUUGAGCCUUGAUGUGUAGGAUAGGUGGGAGGCUUUGAAGUGUGGACGCCAGUCUGCAUGGAGUCGACCUUGAAAUACCACCCUUUAAUGUUUGAUGUUCUAACGUGGACCCGUGAUCCGGGUUGCGGACAGUGUCUGGUGGGUAGUUUGACUGGGGCGGUCUCCUCCUAAAGAGUAACGGAGGAGCACGAAGGUUGGCUAAUCCUGGUCGGACAUCAGGAGGUUAGUGCAAUGGCAUAAGCCAGCUUGACUGCGAGCGUGACGGCGCGAGCAGGUGCGAAAGCAGGUCAUAGUGAUCCGGUGGUUCUGAAUGGAAGGGCCAUCGCUCAACGGAUAAAAGGUACUCCGGGGAUAACAGGCUGAUACCGCCCAAGAGUUCAUAUCGACGGCGGUGUUUGGCACCUCGAUGUCGGCUCAUCACAUCCUGGGGCUGAAGUAGGUCCCAAGGGUAUGGCUGUUCGCCAUUUAAAGUGGUACGCGAGCUGGGUUUAGAACGUCGUGAGACAGUUCGGUCCCUAUCUGCCGUGGGCGAUGGAGAACUGAGGGGGGCUGCUCCUAGUACGAGAGGACCGGAGUGGACGCAUCACUGGUGUUCGGGUUGUCAUGCCAAUGGCACUGCCCGGUAGCUAAAUGCGGAAGAGAUAAGUGCUGAAAGCAUCUAAGCACGAAACUUGCCCCGAGAUGAGUUCUCCCUGACCCUUUAAGGGUCCUGAAGGAACGUUGAAGACGACGACGUUGAUAGGCCGGGUGUGUAAGCGCAGCGAUGCGUUGAGCUAACCGGUACUAAUGAACCGUGAGGCUUAACCUU